Oncorhynchus mykiss (rainbow trout) is the source of this 3266-nucleotide non-coding RNA. Lineage: Eukaryota; Metazoa; Chordata; Actinopteri; Salmoniformes; Salmonidae. The record is from RefSeq and is a predicted model, not a curated record.
CAGAGGGGCGGGGAGCGCUACGCAGUCUCUCUGUAGCUAAGGUGGUUGAUUCUCCAGGAGGGAGUGGGAUGUGGAGAGAUGUGUUUAUAGCUCUGAAUUUCGUUCAGUUCUCAGUCAAGCAUCACGUGUAAUUGAAGAGAUUCCUUACGGAUUUUCUUGCGGUAGCCUACCUAUAAAGAGAAUUACCAAGUAGAAGAGAGACGCGCAUUCCGACCCUCUCAUCACUUUUGUCGUCUCACCUGCACAAGCGGUGAACAGGAGAGGUACCUUAUCAUGGAUCAGGAGAAAUGCUUACCGGAGCUGAUGGCCGAGAAAGAUACGCUGGACUCCUCAUUUGUUCAUGCAAUGCGUCUGCUUGCCGAAGAAAUUGAAAAGUAUGAGGGGGAUGAGUUGAGAAAAGACGGUGACGUCAAGAAAUACCUCGAUGUCAUCAGUAACAAAAACAUCAAGCUCUCGGAAAGAGUACUCAUCCCAGUUCAACAGUACCCGAAGUUUAAUUUUGUUGGGAAGCUGUUGGGUCCACGGGGCAAUUCCAUGAAAAGAUUACAAGAAGAAACAGGAGCAAAGAUGUCCAUCCUCGGAAAAGGCUCCAUGAGGGACAAAGGAAAGGAAGAAGAGUUGAGGAAAAGUGGAGAGGCCAAGUAUGCCCAUUUGAGUAACGAUCUCCACGUUUUAAUUGAAGCCUUCGCUCCUCCCGGAGAGGCCUAUUCCCGCAUGAGCCAUGCCUUGGAGGAGAUUAAGAAAUUCCUAGUUCCAGACUACAAUGAUGAGAUCAGACAGGAGCAGCUGAGGGAGCUCUCCUACUUGAACGGAGGAUCAGAAGACACCAGCAGAGGGAGGACUGUACGUGGGCGGGGCUUACGACUGGCUUCCACCACAAACACACGGGCACGGGGUGGUGUGGUCCCACCCCCUCCACCUGUCAGGGGGGCAGCUGUACCCAGGGGAACAGUGGGUAAGCGGAGUGUCCUGCCACAAGCCACAUUAACGAGAGGAGUACCUGCUCCCAGGGCCAGGGGAACACCAGGGAACACCGGGUACAGACCCCCACUGUUACCCAUCACACACGAAUCAUAUGACGACUACGGCUAUGAUGAUGGAUAUGACGGUGAAUAUGAUGACCAGAGUUAUGAUGCCUAUGAGGAGAACUACAGCAAUCAGUCAAAGAGCAUUUCUGAAUAUUACGAAUAUGGCCAUGGAACCAAUGACGAAGCCUACAACAAUUAUGAAGAGGAGUGGACUACAACCCGUCCGACACUCAAAGCCCCAACAACAAGGCUCUCACGAGGGGGCUACAGAGAACAUCCCUAUGGUGUAACAUAUUGUGUGAACUGUUCAAUAAGGGGAGUGUGAGAGUAUGGAAAACACAGUAAACUCUUCCCUGGGGACCGCAGAGUGCCUCCGCCUAUCUGAAGUGCUGGGCACAACCAGAAAUUAGCCUUGUGCGAAUGAGCAUGCGUCUGUCCUCACAGAAUGUUGACACCACAACAUCAGAGAGAUUCUUUUUUUUUGGUGACGUCGUGUGCCACUUCCGAAGGAACCGGGGGUGCCUCAGCUGGCUCGUCAGGCUUCCAUGCCUUAGCUGGCUCGAGAGGUUUUCUUGCCUCGGGUUGGCUCGGCAGGCUCCCAUCCCACGUCAUUCCUCAGCCGGCUCGUCGAGCUCCCGCGCCUCAGCCGGCUCGUCAGGCUCCCGCGCCUCAGCCAGGUCUCGUCAGGCUCCCACGCCUCAGCCGGCUGGUUGGGAUCCCAUGCCUCGGGGGCCCCCCCUAGAGGGGGGGCUACUGUCACGCCUGCUCCUGCUCCCCCUCUCUGGCGCUCUCUGGCGCCAGGCGGCCCAUCAUUACCCACACCUGUCAUCAUCGUUACACACAUCAGUGCUUCAUUGGACACACCUGGACCAUCAUUUAUUGAUUGCCUCCCCUAUAUCUGUCUAUUCCCCAGUUUCAUCCCCUGUUGCAGCACUAAUGUCGUUUUUGUUCCCCCUGUCCAAACGCUGUCCUUGUUUUGUUUCAUGUCGGUUAUUUACUAAAUAUUCACUCCCUGUACUUGCUUCUCGUCUAUCAGCGUCUGCCCUUACAGACUGGCUGACUGGCAUGGGGAGGCGAGGGGGAGAAGAGAACAGGUGUCUAGACCAGACAGCAGUCAGUGAGCCUUUGCUCAUCACCACAACUGUCUUAUUUAUUCAGGAACAUCCACAAACUUACAGCACUCAGUUGUUGCAGUGUCAAAUUGAUUGCAGUUUCAAAUUCAAAUGGCAAAGAAUAGCCACAAAGCCAUGUUUUCUAACUCAUCCAAAGACUACAAUAACACCAUCAAGAAGAUUGUCAAGCUUUGUCUCUUGCCUGUUUUUCAGAUGUGCAAAUGGUUCUGUGGAUGUGUAGCAUCUUCCCUGUCCAUGUCAACAAGUCAACUUGGCCAGAUGAAUGCCUACACUUUAUCAUGCAUGUAUUUUAUCAUUGUGAUUAAGUUAGCCGUGCCAUACUAGUUUGUUGUGUUUCCAUACAACCUUCAUUUCCAUUGCAUUGCAUGCUUAUACUGUAGUUUUGAUUGGUAGUUUUCAUUUUGUUAUAGCUGAAAAUUUGAGCAGAACUUAUACUCUUCCCUUGAAGCAAUAUAAGAGGUUUUCUCGGUUCACCGGGGUUUUCUCAGUUCACCGGGGUUUUCCCAGUUCGCCAGGGUUUUCCCAGUUCGCAGGGGUUUUUCCAGUUCGCAGGGGUUUUUCCAGUUCGCCAGGGUUUCACUCGUUCACCAGGGUUUCACUCGUUCACCAGGGUUGUACUAUAGUAAGUAUACUGUAGUUUCACCAGUAUCACCUCUCCUACCUUUUUCAUCCCAGAGAGCAGAUCAUUGCUAAAGCAUCCUGUCUAUAAUUUCAUUUUCUACACAAAAGCCCCCAAAUAUGUAUUACAGCAUUCAGGACUAAUAGAUGUUUACUCAACUGUAGCUCGAACUGAGAUAUUUCUUUCUAUUUCCCCUCACUGCAGGCAGUGAAAUAUACGUGCUGUUUCUGUAUUGUAUUUCCUCUGCUGCCAUUCUACUGUGUUGAACGAGGGGACAAACAGGACAAAUACAUUCUACAUUUGCUUUCACUUAAAUGCUGACAUUGUAUGUAAUGAGGUUCGUAUGUGAUGAGGUUCGUAUGUAAUGAAGUUCGUAGGUAAACUAAAACUGUGCAGUUAAAAGUGUGCAGUGCCAUUUCACAAUAGGUCAAAAUGUAUAAUUCAGCCAAUGUUAGUGUAUUUACAUUAAAAUCACUUUUUAUCCUA